Molecule: long non-coding RNA, 400 nt
Filed under: Homo sapiens (human)
Lineage: Eukaryota; Metazoa; Chordata; Mammalia; Primates; Hominidae
Description: non-protein coding lnc-SETD7-3:19
Source: RNAcentral
ACUCUCUCGCGAGAGGGCCGCAGAGCCGCCUUUGACGGGGGCGUGUACCUGGAGAGCAACGCAGGCAAUCAAGCUGGCUAGGUUCCUGCCACAAGUUCAGACUAGUCUUCUGUAGGAGCCUAUGAGGUUGGUCCUAUUUUUACUCUCACUUAUCCCUACUUACCAGAUGAGGAUCCUGAGGCUCAGAAAAACUCUUGACAAAAUUCUCAGGGAAAACUCUUCAGCUCUGGAUGUCUCCCUUUUUGUGGAUCAAACACAAAGGGCAUCAUUCUAAAAUAUAUACAGAACCAUAAAAGCCCCAAAUAGCCAAAGCAACCCUGAGCAAAAAGAACAAGGCUGGAAGCAUCACACUACCAGACUUCAAAAUUUACUACAAAGCUCUAAUACCUAAAAUAACAUG